Molecule: ribosomal RNA, 504 nt
Filed under: uncultured bacterium
Lineage: Bacteria
Description: partial 16S ribosomal RNA
Rfam family: Bacterial small subunit ribosomal RNA
Source: RNAcentral
AUUGAACGCUGGCGGCAGGCCUAACACAUGCAAGUCGAACGGUAGCACAGAGAGCUUGCUCUCGGGUGGCGAGUGGCGGACGGGUGAGUAACGUCUGGGAAACUGCCCGAUGGAGGGGGAUAACUACUGGAAACGGUAGCUAAUACCGCAUAACGUCGCAAGACCAAAGUGGGGGACCUUCGGGCCUCACACCAUCGGAUGCGCCCAGAUGGGAUUAGCUAGUAGGUGGGGUAAUGGCUCACCUAGGCGACGAUCCCUAGCUGGUCUGAGAGGAUGACCAGCCACACUGGAACUGAGACACGGUCCAGACUCCUACGGGAGGCAGCAGUGGGGAAUAUUGCACAAUGGGCGCAAGCCUGAUGCAGCCAUGCCGCGUGUAUGAAGAAGGCCUUCGGGUUGUAAAGUACUUUCAGCGGGGAGGAAGGCGGUGAAGUUAAUAGCUUCACCGAUUGACGUUACCCGCAGAAGAAGCACCGGCUAACUCCGUGCCAGCCGCCGCGGUAA